UUAGAGGAAGGAGAAGUCGUAACAAGGUUUCCGUAGGUGAACCUGCGGAAGGAUCAUUGUCGAAACCUGCCCAGCAGAACGACCCGCGAACACGUAUCAAUGCUACGGGGGCGAGGGGAGGCAUGCCCCCUCUCUCCCCCAAAGUCGGGACGCGCUCGGUGCUCGAUCCGCCAACCGUGCCCCGUGCGCGGGAAGCAUCGGCACCGGCGUGCGCUCGACAUCACAACGAACCCCGGCGCAAAACGCGUCAAGGAAACGCAACGCAAGAGCCCGCUCCCAUCCCCCGGUCUCGGGCCGUGGUGGGGGCAAUGGCAUCUUCGAUAUUAUUCUAAACGACUCUCGGCAACGGAUAUCUCGGCUCUCGCAUCGAUGAAGAACGUAGCGAAAUGCGAUACUUGGUGUGAAUUGCAGAAUCCCGUGAACCAUCGAGUCUUUGAACGCAAGUUGCGCCCAAAGCCAUUAGGCCGAGGGCACGUCUGCCUGGGCGUCACGUAUCGCGUCGCCACCCCAACCCCGCCCACGUAUACCGUGCCGCGGGGCAUCAUGUGGGGGCGGAUAUUGGCCUCCCGUGCACUUCGCCGCGGUUGGCCUAAAAGCGAGCCCCGGGCGACAGAACGUCACGAUAAGUGGUGGUUGAUAAGCCCCGGCCCUUCAAGUGUCAUGUCGUGCGUUGCCCUGUCGCUCGUUGGAGCUACGAGACCCCGAUGCGUCGUCCCGACGAUGCUUCCAUCGCGACCCCAGGUCAGGCGGGACUACCCGCUGAGUUUAAGCAU
RNAcentral lists this unclassified non-coding RNA (773 nucleotides) under Hamamelis mollis (Chinese witch hazel). RNAcentral describes it as "partial contains small subunit ribosomal RNA, internal transcribed spacer 1, 5.8S ribosomal RNA, internal transcribed spacer 2, and large subunit ribosomal RNA". The stretch from base 335 to 490 matches the Rfam family "5.8S ribosomal RNA". The record is from RNAcentral. Lineage: Eukaryota; Viridiplantae; Streptophyta; Magnoliopsida; Saxifragales; Hamamelidaceae.